GAUGAACGCUGGCGGCGUGCCUAAUACAUGCAAGUCGAGCGAACAGACGAGGAGCUUGCUCCUCUGACGUUAGCGGCGGACGGGUGAGUAACACGUGGAUAACCUACCUAUAAGACUGGGAUAACUUCGGGAAACCGGAGCUAAUACCGGAUAAUAUAUUGAACCGCAUGGUUCAAUAGUGAAAGACGGUUUUGCUGUCACUUAUAGAUGGAUCCGCGCCGCAUUAGCUAGUUGGUAAGGUAACGGCUUACCAAGGCAACGAUGCGUAGCCGACCUGAGAGGGUGAUCGGCCACACUGGAACUGAGACACGGUCCAGACUCCUACGGGAGGCAGCAGUAGGGAAUAUUCAGCAAUGGGCGAAAGCCUGACGGAGCAACGCCGCGUGAGUGAUGAAGGUCUUCGGAUCGUAAAACUCUGUUAUUAGGGAAGAACAAAUGUGUAAGUAACUAUGCACGACUUGACGGUACCUAAUCAGAAAGCCACGGCUAACUACGUG
This 497-nucleotide ribosomal RNA is filed under the name uncultured bacterium. RNAcentral's name for it is "partial 16S ribosomal RNA". It matches the Rfam family "Bacterial small subunit ribosomal RNA", at positions 28 to 507 of the family's 1533-position model. The record is from RNAcentral.